RNAcentral lists this ribosomal RNA (492 nucleotides) under uncultured bacterium. Its description in RNAcentral is "partial 16S ribosomal RNA". It matches the Rfam family "Bacterial small subunit ribosomal RNA", at positions 29 to 507 of the family's 1533-position model. The record is from RNAcentral.
AGUGAACGCUGGCGGUAGGCCUAACACAUGCAAGUCGAACGGCAGCACAGUAAGAGCUUGCUCUUACGGGUGGCGAGUGGCGGACGGGUGAGGAAUACAUCGGAAUCUACUUUUUCGUGGGGGAUAACGUAGGGAAACUUACGCUAAUACCGCAUACGACCUACGGGUGAAAGCAGGGGAUCUUCGGACCUUGCGCGAUUGAAUGAGCCGAUGUCGGAUUAGCUAGUUGGCGGGGUAAAGGCCCACCAAGGCGACGAUCCGUAGCUGGUCUGAGAGGAUGAUCGGCCACACUGGAACUGAGACACGGUCCAGACUCCUACGGGAGGCAGCAGUGGGGAAUAUUGGACAACGGGCGCAAGCCUGAUCCAGCCAUACCGCGUGGGUGAAGAAGGCCUUCGGGUUGUAAAGCCCUUUUGUUGGGAAAGAAAAGCAGCAGGUUAAUACCCCGCUGUUCUGACGGUACCCAAAGAAUAAGCACCGGCUAACUUCGUG